GAUGAACGCGGCGGCGUGCUUAACACAUGCAAGUCGAACGAAGCUGUUAAAAGGAAGUCUUCGGAUGGAAUUUUAACAGACUUAGUGGCGGACGGGUGAGUAACGCGUGGAUAACCUGCCUUAUACAGGGGGAUAACGGAGAGAAAUUUCCGCUAAGACCGCAUAAGACCACAGCACCGCAUGGUGCAGGGGUAAAAUAUUAAUAGGUAUAAGAUGGAUCCGCGUCCGAUUAGCUUGUUGGUGAGGUAGAGGCUCACCAAGGCGACGAUCGGUAGCCGGCCUGAGAGGGUGAACGGCCACAUUGGGACUGAGACACGGCCCAAACUCCUACGGGAGGCAGCAGUGGGGAAUAUUGGACAAUGGGGGAAGCCCUGAUCCAGCGACGCCGCGUGAGUGAAGAAGUAUUUCGGUAUGUAAAGCUCUAUCAGCAGUGAAAGAAAAAUGACGGUACCCUG
RNAcentral lists this ribosomal RNA (455 nucleotides) under Lachnoanaerobaculum saburreum. RNAcentral's name for it is "bacterial SSU rRNA". It matches the Rfam family "Bacterial small subunit ribosomal RNA", at positions 28 to 482 of the family's 1533-position model. Lineage: Bacteria; Bacillati; Bacillota; Clostridia; Lachnospirales; Lachnospiraceae. The record is from RNAcentral.